CACGAUCGAUUUUACAAUCAUACAUGAGUACCAAAAUAUAAACAAAUAAUUAAGUAUUAAUACUGUAAUUAGAACUGGCCAGUAUUGCCAUUUCAACCUUCAAAAGACAGUAGUAAUAUAAUGAAAGGAAAAAAAAUUGUUUCCAACAGAUUGAAUUAAAUUACAUUUCCCUAUUAUUUCUAGCCAUAUACAAAAAUGCAGAAAUUUUUAAAGUGUUCUGGAUUUCCCAGAUUGAUUGUGGCAUUGUGUACUACGCUAUGGCUAGGACUCGUGUUUAUGUUGAUGAUCAUGCCUAACAUUUCGGCAUCAACAAGAAUUCCCCGGGAAUUAGCCCAAGUUAAUUUUCAAGACCAAGCUUUCAAAGACUGCAACUUCACGAAUUGUAAUUCUAUUGGAUCCGGAGACUUUGGAGUUGGCCCUAGUUUUCCAUGAUCAUUUGCACAUCUGAGAAAGUAUGCAUUGAAGAAGCAAACAAGCAGUUCAGCUGAAUCUAUCUCAAUUUGUGUGCAGUAAUGUAUUUAUAUCUUUUCUUCUUUCCUCCAUUAUUGCAUUAUUCUUUCUAUUCAAUAGUCAAUACAAUAUAACUUGUGUCUCAAUUGAAUUCUUUAGAAUGACAUACAGUUUAACUCAAAUGUUAUAUCAAGUGAAUUGUGGCGUUUA
This is a long non-coding RNA of Chenopodium quinoa (quinoa), 660 nucleotides long. RefSeq lists it as uncharacterized. The transcript has 2 exons. NCBI's taxonomy places the organism in Eukaryota, Viridiplantae, Streptophyta, Magnoliopsida, Caryophyllales, Amaranthaceae. The record is from RefSeq and is a predicted model, not a curated record.